RNAcentral lists this ribosomal RNA (252 nucleotides) under uncultured microorganism. Its description in RNAcentral is "partial 16S ribosomal RNA". It matches the Rfam family "Bacterial small subunit ribosomal RNA", at positions 524 to 776 of the family's 1533-position model. The record is from RNAcentral.
UACGUAGGUCCCGAGCGUUGUCCGGAUUUAUUGGGCGUAAAGCGAGCGCAGGUGGUUUAAUAAGUCUGAUGUAAAAGGCAGUGGCUCAACCAUUGUGUGCAUUGGAAACUGUUAGACUUGAGUGCAGAAGGGGAGAGUGGAAUUCCAUGUGUAGCGGUGAAAUGCGUAGAUAUAUGGAGGAACACCGGUGGCGAAAGCGGCUCUCUGGUCUGUAACUGACGCUGAGGCUCGAAAGCGUGGGGAGCGAACAGG